CUUGCUUCUCUUGAGAGCGGCGGACGGGUGAGUAAUGCCUAGGAAUCUGCCUGGUAGUGAGGGAUAACGUUCGGAAACGGACGCUAAUACCGCAUACGUCCUACGGGAGAAAGCAGGGGACCUUCGGGCCUUGCGCUAUCAGAUGAGCCUAGGUCGGAUUAGCUAGUUGGUGGGGUAAUGGCUCACCAAGGCGACGAUCCGUAACUGGUCUGAGAGGAUGAUCAGUCACACUGGAACUGAGACACGGUCCAGACUCCUACGGGAGGCAGCAGUGGGGAAUAUUGGACAAUGGGCGAAAGCCUGAUCCAGCCAUGCCGCGUGUGUGAAGAAGGUCUUCGGAUUGUAAAGCACUUUAAGUUGGGAGGAAGGGUUGUAGAUUAAUACUCUGCAAUUUUGACGUUACCGACAGAAUAAGCACCGGCUAACUCUGUGCCAGCAGCCGCGGUAAUACAGAGGGUGCAAGCGUUAAUCGGAAUUACUGGGCGUAAAGCGCGCGUAGGUGGUUUGUUAAGUUGGAUGUGAAAUCCCCGGGCUCAACCUGGGAACUGCAUUCAAAACUGACUGACUAGAGUAUGGUAGAGGGUGGUGGAAUUUCCUGUGUAGCGGUGAAAUGCGUA
RNAcentral lists this ribosomal RNA (617 nucleotides) under uncultured bacterium. Its description in RNAcentral is "bacterial SSU rRNA". It matches the Rfam family "Bacterial small subunit ribosomal RNA", at positions 79 to 692 of the family's 1533-position model. The record is from RNAcentral.